RNAcentral lists this ribosomal RNA (254 nucleotides) under uncultured bacterium. RNAcentral's name for it is "partial 16S ribosomal RNA". It matches the Rfam family "Bacterial small subunit ribosomal RNA", at positions 524 to 776 of the family's 1533-position model. The record is from RNAcentral.
UACGUAGGGGGCAAGCGUUGUCCGGAUUUAUUGGGCGUAAAGAGCUCGUAGGUGGUUUGGUAAGUCGGAUGUGAAAUCUCCAGGCUCAACCUGGAGGGGUCAUUCGAUACUGCCAUGACUAGAGGUCGGUAGGGGAGUGUGGAAUUCCUGGUGUAGCGGUGAAAUGCGCAGAUAUCAGGAAGAACACCCGUGGCGAAGGCGGCUCUCUGGGACGGUACUGACGCUGAGACGCGAAAGCGUGGGGAGCGAACAGG